GAACGCUGGCCGGCGUGCUUAACACAUGCAAGUCGAACGGUAACAGGUCUUUCGGGAUGCUGACGAGUGGCGAACGGGUGAGUAAUGUAUAGUUAAUUUGCCUCUUGGAGAGGGAUAGCCACUGGAAACGGUGAUUAAUACCUUAUACUCCUAUUACUGUAAGAGUAAUAGGGAAACGCUUUAUUGUGCCAAGAGAUAAGACUAUAUCCUAUCAGCUAGUUGGUAGUAUAAGAGACUACCAAGGCAAUGACGGGUAGCUGGUCUGAGAGGAUGAUCAGCCACACUGGAACUGAGACACGGUCCAGACUCCUACGGGAGGCAGCAGUGGGGAAUAUUGCACAAUGGAGGAAACUCUGAUGCAGCAACGCCGCGUGGAGGAUGACGCAUUUCGGUGUGUAAACUCCUUUUAUAUGGGAAGAUAAUGACGGUACCAUAUGAAUAAGCACCGGCUAACUCCGUGCCAGCAGCCGCGGUAAUACGGAGGGUGCAAGCGUUCUCGGAAUCACUGGGCGUAAAGCGCGCGCAGGCGGGCUGAUAAGUUGGAUGUGAAAGCCUAUGGCUCAACCAUAGAACUGCAUCCAAAACUGUCAGUCUAGAGUCUGGGAGGGGAAGAUGGAAUUAGUUGUGUAGGGGUAAAAUCCGUAGAGAUAACUAGGAAUACCAAAAGCGAAGGCGAUCUUCUGGAACAGUACUGACGCUGAGGCGCGAAAGCGUGGGGAGCAAACAGGAUUAGAUACCCUGGUAGUCCACGCCCUAAACGAUGAAUGUUAGUCGUCGGUGUCCUAGUGACAUCGGUGAUGCAGCUAACGCAUUAAACAUUCCGCCUGGGGAGUACGGUCGCAAGAUUAAAACUCAAAGGAAUAGACGGGGACCCGCACAAGUGAUGGAGCAUGUGGUUUAAUUCGAAGAUACGCGAAGAACCUUACCUAGCCUUGACAUACUACAGAAUUUGACAGAGAUGUUGAAGUGCCUUCGGGAGCUGUAAUACAGGUGCUGCACGGCUGUCGUCAGCUCGUGUCGUGAGAUGUUGGGUUAAGUCCCGCAACGAGCGCAACCCUCGUCCUUAGUUACUAACGGUUCGGCCGAGGACUCUAAGGAGACUGCCUUC
RNAcentral lists this ribosomal RNA (1108 nucleotides) under uncultured Campylobacterota bacterium. RNAcentral's name for it is "bacterial SSU rRNA". It matches the Rfam family "Bacterial small subunit ribosomal RNA", at positions 31 to 1156 of the family's 1533-position model. Lineage: Bacteria; Pseudomonadati; Campylobacterota. The record is from RNAcentral.